RNAcentral lists this ribosomal RNA (517 nucleotides) under uncultured bacterium. Its description in RNAcentral is "bacterial SSU rRNA". It matches the Rfam family "Bacterial small subunit ribosomal RNA", at positions 8 to 502 of the family's 1533-position model. The record is from RNAcentral.
AGAGUUUGAUCCUGGCUCAGAAUGAACGCUGGCGGCGUGCCUAACACAUGCAAGUCGAACGAGAAAGCGGACUUCGGUCCGUUAGUAAAGUGGCAGACGGGUGAGUAACACGUGGGUAACCUGCCCGAAGGUGGGGGAUAACCCUCCGAAAGGAGGGCUAAUACCGCAUAACAUCACGAGCUCUUCGGGGCUUGUGAUCAAAGCUAGCCUCUAUUUAUAUGCUAGCGCCAACGGAGGGGCCCGCGCCCCAUUAGCUAGAUGGUGAGGUAACGGCUCACCAUGGCUACGAUGGGUAGCCGGCCUGAGAGGGUGAUCGGCCACACUGGAACUGAGACACGGUCCAGACUCCUACGGGAGGCAGCAGUGAGGAAUUUUGCGCAAUGGGCGAAAGCCUGACGCAGCGACGCCGCGUGGAGGAGGAAGGCCUUCGGGUCGUAAACUCCUGUCAAGGGGGACGAACGCGGGGCGGAUGAAUAAGCCGCUUCGUUGACGUACCUCUGAAGAAGCCCCGCUAACU